GGUGGCUCAGUGGUAGAGCAUUUGCCUUGCAUGCAUGAGGCCUUGGGUUCGAUUCCCCAGCACCA
This 65-nucleotide transfer RNA is filed under the name Dipodomys ordii (Ord's kangaroo rat). It matches the Rfam family "tRNA". From Rfam's summary of the family: Transfer RNA (tRNA) molecules are approximately 80 nucleotides in length. Their secondary structure includes four short double-helical elements and three loops (D, anti-codon, and T loops). Lineage: Eukaryota; Metazoa; Chordata; Mammalia; Rodentia; Heteromyidae. The record is from Rfam by way of RNAcentral.